This 73-nucleotide transfer RNA is filed under the name Paragonimus westermani. RNAcentral describes it as "tRNA-Val". It matches the Rfam family "tRNA". From Rfam's summary of the family: Transfer RNA (tRNA) molecules are approximately 80 nucleotides in length. Their secondary structure includes four short double-helical elements and three loops (D, anti-codon, and T loops). The record is from RNAcentral. Lineage: Eukaryota; Metazoa; Platyhelminthes; Trematoda; Plagiorchiida; Troglotrematidae.
GGUCCGGUGGUGUAGUGAUUAUCACGUCUGCUUUACACGCAGAAGGUCCCCGGUUCGAGCCCGGGUCGGAUCA